UCGGCAACGGAUAUCUCGGCUCUCGCAUCGAUGAAGAACGUAGCGAAAUGCGAUACUUGGUGUGAAUUGCAGAAUCCCGUGAACCAUCGAGUCUUUGAACGCAAGUUGCGCCUGAAGCCAUUCGGCCGAAGGCACGUCUGCCUGGGCGUCACGUACCCAAUCGCUCCCCAAAACCUCCCACAUCUCUACCGAUUUGUGGAGGGCUCGGAGGGCGGAGAUUGGCCUCCCGUGCUGUAACG
This 239-nucleotide ribosomal RNA is filed under the name Ribes amarum. Its description in RNAcentral is "5.8S ribosomal RNA". The stretch from base 1 to 151 matches the Rfam family "5.8S ribosomal RNA". Rfam says of the family: 5.8S ribosomal RNA (5.8S rRNA) is a component of the large subunit of the eukaryotic ribosome. It is transcribed by RNA polymerase I as part of the 45S precursor that also contains 18S and 28S rRNA. Lineage: Eukaryota; Viridiplantae; Streptophyta; Magnoliopsida; Saxifragales; Grossulariaceae. The record is from RNAcentral.